UGAGUGAAUUUAAUUCAGAUGACCGUUGUAUCUACUACAGUGGGCAAGAAUCCCUUAGAAGACAUGGAGUAGCCCUCAUAGUCAACAUCUGUAUCAAGCUAUCUGUGAAUCGUGGCUUUCAAUGAUUCUCUCAAAUAUUGCCAUGCUUCGUGGUGGAGGAGCACAAAAAUCUUACCCAGAGCAUAUAGGAAAACGACAGCGAUACCUUUCUGAUCUUAUUGCCUUUACCAUUUGGAAUUUUUUUAACCUAAAGGUAGACCACAUCUUCUCUUGAAAUUUUUAAGCUUGGAUCACUUCCUUCCUAGGAUGUGAUCUCUUUCAAUGUUGAUAGACAAUGUUGUCUGCAGGGAGGAUGGGUGAGGGUCCUGAGGGGCGAGAGAGAAGUGAAAGGUAUGAGCAUUGUGAGAGGCAUGUCCAUCUGUCUUCUACAGCUGAAGACUGAGCAAGAGACGUCAAUUAAAGCACCUGCUGAUGUUGCAGAGUGGUGAUCUGAAGACGUUUUAGAGGCUGUGGGUGAGACCACCCCCAGAGGACCACUGGAUGCGUGGCAUAGAGCCUGUGAGGGCUUGGGAGACCUCCCUGGGCUCCAGCGGUGGGUACACACAGGGUUAGUCAGACCUGCUGCUGCCUGAUGUUGUAGAUCUGAGGUGGAACUGGGCAGAGAACAUGGGGGAGUGGAAAGGGGUGGCCCUGAGCUUGUUGUGUGGAAAAUGUGUCACCCCCAGAUCAGUAUGUUAGCACCAUUUUAAGGGCCCGAUCUUGCAUGUCAUCACAGAGAAAUACUGUACUAAGUAGGAAGGGUGAGCUGCUGGCCCAACUCCUGGCCUGGGGACGUGUAGACACACACAGAGCCCUCAGGGGCAUCCUCACAUCAGGGUAGGGAGUCAGCACUGAGAAGGGGAGAGAUGGUGGAGUUCUCUGAGUCCUGGGCCUGGGCCUGGGUCUGAGGCCCCUGGUCAGAUGGCACUGCUGGCCCCAGCAGAUUCCAGGUCCUGAGGGGGGCUUAGAAACUGUCCACGAAGGCACCUGAAGACACAGGGCCCCUUGCCUGCCCAGGGCUAAGCCAUGUCCUUCUCCUGCUGGUCUCCUCAUGACAGUGACCACCUCCACACUUGUGAUUGCAGAGUCAGCCCCUGGCCUCUGCAUACUGGCACAGGAAGGAAGUCAGGCUGAGUUCCAGUUUGGUGGGUGAGGAUGGACCCAGAUCCUCUAAGUCUUCUCUUUGGAAGCAUCACUUCUUUUAUUAUUUGAUCUAUUAGAGUGAAUACUAUUAUGAAAAGAAGCAUUUAUUUUGUUCUUGAUGUAUAGGCUGAACCUGCAAUGAGGAAAGGACAGUCCUUUUAGCUGCAGAAGUCAGCCGUAAACUUGGCCUCACAGGGCUCCAUUCCUGGAUGGAGGAAAUUUUCUUUCUUGCUUCACCUGGAAUUCUGCAGUUUCUGAAUGUCACCUGUUUUUUAUUAUGCUCUUAUUACAAUACAAUUAACCUUACAGGUAAGAAGUACCCAUCAUGCACCGAUGCCAUGACACUUCUGAUGUAAGCUAAAUAAGGACAGAAAUCCCUCCUCCCCUUUGAAGAAUGGAGCUGGGAUGAAAAUCAGGGAAUAAGACCUCCAAACUCCUCCUUCCCCAGUGAAGAUUCCACCCCUUCAUUUGCAUGUCCCUCAUGAUCAGCUUGCCAAAGAAACCCAGGAGGGCAGCUCCUCACCUAUCUGCCUGCUCUCCCUCUGAGAGUGUAUCCUUGCUUUAAUAAACUCUCACUUUACUUUCUUAACCUCUCUGCUUUGUCUCUGAAUCCUUUUGCAACAGAGAAAGAAACCUUGCAUUCACUGGGAACAGAAUCAGAUAUUAGGACUGUCAACCAAAAAAAUGCAAACCUAAAAGUUGCAGGUUAUGUUUUAUUCAGGGACCUUACUGAGGACUAAAGCCUGGGAAGGCAGCCUGUCAGCUCUGACGAACUGUUUUAAAGAUAUAAGAGAGGAGCCUGGAUAUAUAGAAUUUUUUGCUAAAAAAAAAAUCAAAUGUAGUUGAAUAUUGAAAGAUUACUGCUAACCACAAAAGACAGACAUCUCAAGUUAAUAAUAGUGCUUUUCUGUAUAUGUGAAAAGGCAAGAAUUUGGACUCAUCGAAAUUAUUCCUUAGAUUUGCAUCCUAACUAUCUAGGACCAGGAUCCCUUUUUUUCAUCCAGAAUCCCUUUCAUAGAGCAUCACUGGAGGAGGCUACAAUGGCUGAUGGCUUGAUGAUGGACAGCAUUUGUUGUUUACUGGAACAUUAGACAACAUUUUUUGGUAAGCACUGGGAUAGCAUCCUGAGAUUCUGGGAUGCUAACACCUAGGAUCACAUCCUGGUAAGCCUGGCUGUCUUCUCAUGCUUCUUAAGGCCAUGGGCAAGUGGUUCUGCCACAAGGUUCUCCAAAUAGCCAGGAAACCAAGGCACAUCUUCCUGGGCUAUCAAUUUUAUUCAAAUAUCUGAGGGGAUAAAGGUUGAACAUUUAAAUUAGCUUUAACCCUUAAAACAUUACAAGUAUAGAUACAUUGUGGAACAGAAUGCAAUGUGCAAUGAGUCCCUACCUAGAGCUGUAAUUGAGUCUGGGCUCUCCAGGCCUCCCAAGGACAAGUUUCCCAAUGCUGAGUUUCUCUAUUUUUAAAAACAUAUUUUAAAAAAUUGUUUUUUGAGAUAUAAUUGUUGAAAAAAAUUUGCACAACGUGAGUGUUGCAAGUUAAGCUUUAUUUGGGGGCAAAAUAAGGACUGCAGCCUGGGAGACAGUGUUUCAGAUAGCACUGAGAAACUGCUCUGAGGAGGUGAAGGGAGAAGCUAGGAUAUAUAGGAGUUUUUGCAAUAAAAGGCAGAUAGUUGGGAACAUCAGAAAAUUACUGUUAAUUAAAGAAAACCAGAUAUCCCAAGUUAAGGAAUUUAGCACUUUUCUAUGUAUGAGAACAUUCAAGAUUCUGGGCUCACUGAAAUUGCUCCUUUGAUCUGUACCUCAGCUAUCUGGGGCCAGUAUCCUGUACUGUCUCAUUCUGAGUUUCCUCAGGGCUCACCUUAGGGAGUGGCUGUAGUCUGAUGGCUGUUAGAUGGCAGAUAUUCUUUCUUUCCUGAGUUCCCUCAGGACUUACCAGCUCACCAUCUGUGGUGGCUGCGAUCUCUGAGGACUGUGCCAUUCUUGUUUACCGAUAUGGCAGGAAAUAUCCCACUUCUGAAAUUUGUAAAACAUAAUGGUCACCACUUUAAAGUCUGCAACUCAGUAGAUUUUAGUAUAUUCACGAUGUUGUGCAACCACCUCACUACUACUCUCUUUUUGAGGAAUUCUUUCAUGAAAAUGUUUGGGGUGCUGCCUGCCUGCCACUCUGCCUCCAGAGGAGAAUUCACAGUGUCAGCAAUAGGAGGUGGAGUGCUGUUGAUCUUCAAGAAAGAGCAAGUUGAGGAGUGUCAAGUCGAGGAUUGGCGAGGCACAGAACCAUAUGAAGACCAUGUGGCACGCAGACACAGAAGUUCCACAGAAGGCCAUGAGGAGGAGACAGGCAGGCUGGACCAGAGACCCUGACCUGGUUACUGAGAGGCCUAGCAUCUGCUCCUGACCCUGUCCCUAACAUGCUGCGUGCUGGGUGAUUGGGGCAAAUGGCUCCACUUAUGUGGGUCAUGGUGUUUUCAUCUGUAACAUGGACAGGGAAAUCCUGGUUUGAUCCCUGGGUCGGGAAGAUCACCUGGAGAAGUGAAU
Molecule: long non-coding RNA, 3716 nt
Organism: Cervus elaphus (red deer)
Lineage: Eukaryota; Metazoa; Chordata; Mammalia; Artiodactyla; Cervidae
Exons: 4
Source: RefSeq, a predicted model, not a curated record